RNAcentral lists this ribosomal RNA (500 nucleotides) under uncultured bacterium. RNAcentral describes it as "partial 16S ribosomal RNA". It matches the Rfam family "Bacterial small subunit ribosomal RNA", at positions 30 to 523 of the family's 1533-position model. The record is from RNAcentral.
AUUGAACGCUGGCGGAAUGCUUUACACAUGCAAGUCGAACGGCAGCACGGACUUCGGUCUGGUGGCGAGUGGCGAACGGGUGAGUAAUGUAUCGGAACGUGCCCAGUCGUGGGGGAUAACGUAGUGAAAAUUACGCUAAUACCGCAUACGAUCUAUGGAUGAAAGCGGGGGAUCGCAAGACCUCGCGCGAUUGGAGCGGCCGAUAUCAGAUUAGGUAGUUGGUGGGGUAAAGGCCCACCAAGCCAACGAUUUGUAGCUGGUCUGAGAGGACGACCAGCCGCACUGGAACUGAGACACGGUCCAGACUCCUACGGAAGGCAGCAGUGGGGAAUUUUGGACAAUGGGCGAAAGCCUGAUCCAGCCAUUCCGCGUGCAGGAUGAAGGCCCUCGGGUUGUAAACUGCUUUUGUACAGAACGAAAAGGUUUCUACUAAUACUAGGAGCUCAUGACGGUACUGUAAGAAUAAGCACCGGCUAACUACGUGCCAGCCGCCGCGGUAA